AGAAAUGCACAAAAGAAAAUGAACUGAUUUUCUUCUGACCGUAAUCCUGUUCUCUCUGUAGCAGCUUAAGACAUUACCUGCGAUACAUGUUUUGGUUUUUACUCUUAUCAAAGUUCAAGUUUUUUGAGUAAUUUAAGGAUGCUGGUGUUUGCACACUGAUAAAUGUUAAUUUUGAUGCUCUUGGAAUUGUCCAGUUAGAGUUAACAUGUGGUCCGUUGGUGAUGCUUCUGCUACUUUCACAGUUGUACAAUGUUUACUAGUUAUCUCGGCAAAACUCUCUUGCUUCUCCAUUUUUCCUUUGUUUAACUCCAAAAAAUCCAAUCCCAUAAGUGGAUCAAGAAAGACUGAACUGUAAGGACGCUUUGAAGUUGUUUCUGCUGUCAUACAUAGAUGUUAAAUUGCAGCUUCCAGUAAUAGUAGGUCUACAUUUGGGUGAAUUGUUGUUUAGUUGGUUUUCUCUGGCUUUAGAGUCCUAUUAUACUUUCUUGAAAUUCUGUAAGUGUAAGAAUUUCAGAAGGGAACAUAGAUAUUGUUUAAUAAUUUUCAGGAAGACUGGAGAGCUUUGCGUGGUGCACUUGUUGGUUGUUUGGCACUGUUGAGGAGAAAAACUGAUGUUGGUGUGGUAACUGAAAAUGAUGCAGAAGCUGUGAUGAAAUCAUAUAUGCAAUAUCUGCAAGUGCAGUCCAUGGGACAGCAUGACCGGAAGCUCUGCUUUGAACUUCUGGAAUGCCUACUGGAGCGGUACCCUAAUGCUGUUCAGCCACUGGGCAAUGAACUUUUCUAUUCAAUCUGUGAAGCCAAAAAGUGAAGAUAUUGGGGUCAGCAGGGAUGAGCUCUCCAGGGCAUUACUGCUGGCAUUUGCUGCAACACCACUUUUUGAGCCAUUUGCUAUUCCAUUGCUGCUUGAUAAACUCUCUUCUUCUCUGCCAUCAGCAAAGGUUGAAUCCUUUAAGUAUCUUGGUUACUGUGCUCCGAUGUAUGGAUCAGAUAGGAUGGCCAAACAUGGUGGAGCUCUUUGGUCUUCGGUGAAAGAUGUUUUGUAUACCUCACCAGAGUCUGCUUUGUCUGUGGAGUCAGAGUCAGAUGGUGGUAUGAUUUUUGAGGAGAGUGAUAUUAUGGUUGAAGCCCUGAUCCUUUUGGAGGGGCUUAUGCAGCAAAAUAGUGAUUUGCUCUUAGAUAUGAUCCUUGGAGAUGAGGACAUCAAUAACUUCAUCUGCUCAUUUCUUAAGCCUUGGGAUAUUCAUGAUACUCCAUUGCAACUAAGACAACAACUUCAUUCAGUAGGUCGCCUUCUUGCUGUCUCUGCCAAAUCUUCCAUGGCUUCCUGCAAUAGAGUGUUUGAAAAAUUCUUUCCCCAAAUGAUGGAGGCUUUGGGCUGUUCAGUUGGAAAUCAUUCUGAUGAGAGUUUUGCAACUGAAGAUCGUGCUCUUUCUUCUAGAUUUAAUUAUGGUACCUUAUACCUUUGUGUCGAACUCCUUGAUGCAUGUAGAUGUUUGGUUUUGGGUUUCAAAGAAUCUACAUCCUUUCCUGAUUUUAUACACGAGAAGUGGUGUUGCAUGCUGCAUGGCUUUUGCAGAUCAUUAAUCAACAUCUUCUUUUCUAACUUAGAAGCUGUUUCUGGAAAUGCUCAAAGCUCUUUCGCUUAUACUGGAGUAAAGGGUUUGCAGCUUUUGGCUACAUUUCCUAGGAGCUUCGCUCCUGUCUCAUUGUUGCUGUUUGAGAACAUUCUGUUGAAGUUGGUGUCAGCCAUCACUUCUAACUUCGACAAGAAAUUCUCAUGGGGGCUGGAAUUAAAGGCAUUAGUGGAGAUUGGCUUAUAUAUUGAAGGGUAUCAAGAGUCUGAAAAGGCAGCAACUUUUGCUAGGAUUGUUGUAGACAAGUUUGUGUCUUGGAUAUCUUCUGAUGAGCCUGCUAUGCCGCUAUCUCUCAAAAUGCAAGCAAUUUGUGAAACUGGAAUGACAGGAAUUAGCAAUAUGCUGAGAAUUGUCCAAGGGAUGGAAAAGGCUAUAUCUGCCAAAUUCACUCAGGCUUAUGUUGAUGGUAAUUUUGAGUCAGUGGAAUUGGUAAUCAAGGUUCUGGAGUGCUAUAGUGCUAGGGUACUCCCAUGGUUUGAAAUGAAUGGAGGUUCUGAGGAAGUUGCUUGGAAUUUGGCAGCUAUUAUUUGGGACAAGAUUGACAAUUCUAGUUCGGUCAAUCUCACUGUUCAAAAUUACGAACUUCUUGGUGCAGCUAUGACAGCAAUGAAACAAGCAGUUCGACGCUGUUCACAGGAAAGUCAGGAAAAGAUUGUCAAUAGAGCCUUUAGGGUACUAUCAGCAAGCACCUUGUUUCCUCUGAAAGAUUCACCAUUUGCCACUUCCUUGUCCAAUUCAGAAGACUCAUACCUUAAUCAUCAUGUUGACAGAGUUUCAUGUAGAGAUGAAUGGAUCAUUUCACUGUAUGCUUCAGUUGUUAUUGCACUCCGUCCUCAAACACACGUCCAAAAUUUAAAGAUGGUUUUACAGUUAUUCAUAAUGGCCCUUACAAAAGGUCAUAUUCCUUCGGCUCAGGCAUUGGGUUCUUUGGUUAACAAAUUGCCUUCAAAAACCAAUGAAAGGCAUUUGUCACAAGAAUAUGGUGUGGAAGAGGCAAUAGAUGUGAUACUAACAAGUAGCAUAUGGAAUUUCUGCCAGAGUAAUACUCUCAGAAAAUGCUCUUUGUUUGGUGGUGGCAAUGAGAUACAUAAUACUAAGUGCCUUGCUGGUUUAAAUCAUACCUCAGUUCACAUUUCUGCAAUUGUUGGACUGGCUUGGAUAGGAAAGGGAUUGAUUAUGCGAGGUCAUGAAGGGAUAAAGGACAUCACAAUGACUUUUUUAGGUGUCUUACUUGAGAACACCAAUAAUGGGGAUUUUCCAGAGUCAUGUGAUCCAAUUGAAGGCAAAGAGCAAGUAGUGAUCCCUCUAAUGAAAUCUGCUGCUGAUGCAUUUCAUAUUCUCCUGAGUGAUUCCGAAGAUUGUUUGAAUAGGAACUAUCAUUCAGUGAUACGGCCACUUUACAAGCAACGGUUUUACAACUCUGUUAUGCCCCUUUUAUUAUCUUCGACAAGGCAAUCUAAUUCAAUAAUAACUAGAUCCAUGCUAUUCCGAUCAUUUGCACAUGUAAUAUCAGAGACCCCUCUGUCUGCUAUGAUAAGUGAAGCUAAUAAGCUCAUUCCCUUGCUUCUAGAUAGCUUGUCCACCUUGACUGAGGAUGUUAUGCAUAAAGAUGUCAUCUACAAUGUCAUUCUAGUCCUAUCUGCAAUUUUGAUGGACAAAAAUGGACAAGUAGCUGUUUUGGAAAAUGCACAAGCCAUAAUUAACCAGCUUAUUGGGCUUGCGGCGUAUCCUCAUAUGAUGGUAAUUCGAGAGACAGCAAUUCAGUGCCUUGUUGCAAUGUCUGAACUGCCUUAUGCGAGGAUUUAUCCAUUGAGAACAAAGGUUUUACAAGCUAUAUCAAAAGCCUUGGAUGAUCCAAAGAGGGCUGUCAGACAAGAAGCAGUCAGAUGUCGCCAAGCUUGGUUUGGGCAAUCAAAUAAAUGAUGGUGUUCUUUUCCUUCUUCAAUAGUGAAGGUUAUAAUUAGAUUUUGCUCACUGGCAGCUGAUGUUUUUGGACAGGGCAUCAAUUGCCUCAAGAAGCCUUCACUUUUGAAAUACUAAAUAACAUCGAGUUCCAAGGCUUGUGAGAUAAGGGAAGAUGAAGAAGUACCAUUGUCAUGCUAUACUAAUCUUUCUUGGUAGCUGAAACUGGAAACUACUCAGUCAUGCAUCUCAAAUUGCAGCUUUCUUAAGCAAGUUGGAGUACCUUCUAGUCAACAAUAGAGGACUGCAGGGAUAACGCAUUCUUCAUCUUGCCUGCUGUUCGGAAGUGUAGAUGAUUUUUUGCUUUCAAUUGAGGCAGACAAGUGAUUGUCCUAAAUUGUUAGCUAGUGUCAACAUUGCCAUUUCUUGGUCACCCUUCGGAGUAAUUGGAGGAUUUACCAUGUCCUUGGUAGUUUGAGACUGACAUAUAUUGCUCUGAUAAAAGUGUUUCAAGAGGUCUCCAAGUUUCUGAAGCCGCUAUAUAUGCAGCUUUGUUGCUGAAUAGUUCUAUUGGAGAAUGAUAUCUCACCUUAAAAUUCACAAGGUACAGCAAUCAUGACCAUGUAAACUUAUUGCAAUUCCUCAACAUAACAGGAAACAGCGAAAGAAGAAAAUGACUGCAUCUUAUUCAGUUAUGUUCGCAGUGUCAAAGUUCUUUUCAAUAUUAACUUUCAGUCGUCCUUUUAGCU
This is a non-coding RNA of Coffea arabica (coffee), 4285 nucleotides long. The record is from RefSeq and is a predicted model, not a curated record. NCBI's taxonomy places the organism in Eukaryota, Viridiplantae, Streptophyta, Magnoliopsida, Gentianales, Rubiaceae.